AUUGAACGCUGGCGGCAGGCCUAACACAUGCAAGUCGAGCGGUAGAGAGGUGCUUGCAUCUCUUGAGAGCGGCGGACGGGUGAGUAAUGCCUAGGAAUCUGCCUAGUGGUGGGGGAUAACGUUCGGAAACGGACGCUAAUACCGCAUACGUCCUACGGGAGAAAGCGGGGGAUCUUCGGACCUCGCGCCAUUAGAUGAGCCUAGGUCGGAUUAGCUAGUUGGUGAGGUAAUGGCUCACCAAGGCGACGAUCCGUAACUGGUCUGAGAGGAUGAUCAGUCACACUGGAACUGAGACACGGUCCAGACUCCUACGGGAGGCAGCAGUGGGGAAUAUUGGACAAUGGGCGAAAGCCUGAUCCAGCCAUGCCGCGUGUGUGAAGAAGGUCUUCGGGUUGUAAAGCACUUUCUAGCGAGGAGGAAGGGUUGUGUGUUAAUAGCACAUAGCCUUGACGUUACUCGCAGAAGAAG
Molecule: ribosomal RNA, 468 nt
Filed under: uncultured bacterium
Lineage: Bacteria
Description: bacterial SSU rRNA
Rfam family: Bacterial small subunit ribosomal RNA
Source: RNAcentral